Molecule: long non-coding RNA, 3987 nt
Organism: Paramisgurnus dabryanus
Lineage: Eukaryota; Metazoa; Chordata; Actinopteri; Cypriniformes; Cobitidae
Source: RefSeq, a predicted model, not a curated record
CAAAAUCGUUGUCAGAACUUUACAGACGAUUCACGAUAGUCUCAAACGAUAAACAUACAUGUACAGUGCAACAUCCAGACGUAUUAAUGUGUUGUCAGUCUCUGGGGAAACAAAACAUUUUGAGUUUUCCGAUGGUUUGUGCUUGACAGAAAUUGUCAAUUCUGUCAAACGGAGAAAUGUUUGGAGGUUUUGUAGUCUUGGUUGCAGGAAAAUACGUAUAUGAAUUACACACUUUGCCCAAGUGUGAGUGACAAUCUCAAAAUGCAGCUUUAUUUUACAAAAUUUCGCAUCGAGUUGUAAGUGUAAACUAAGUUCCGACAUACAAUUUCAACAUUUGGACCUUCGGAUAUAUAAAGCACAUCUUCAGGUUAAAAGGCAGUAGCCUACAGGUUUGAAGGAAAAUCACUCGACGUUGUUAUUCAAGCUCCGUUGAGAAAUGCAGGCACAACAGCUAUGUUAAUGUAUAUGUGCUGCCGAAGCAAGCACGAACUGGAAGCCUGGAUACUGUACUUUAAUACCCCGGUCCCCCAGAUGCUUAUUUGAUAGCUGGUUUACCGUAGUAUUCUUGUCAGCUCCAGACCAGCUCCAUAUGCAAAGAAACUCCGGUCUGCUAGCUGGGAUUGGAAGGCUGAGUGUGACGUAGAGGAUCUUUUGUUACACCCCACAUACCAUCCCCCUACAUACACAUGACACAUCCUCCCCCCGGGGUAAAGGUCGGUUUGCAUACCCAUAGCACUUACUCAGAGCCCUGGUAACGACACCAGGAAGCUUUCGUUUCAGAGCACAGCAGGCAGUGAAACUACCGAAUGAGAUAUUUGAAGUUUGAGGGAAUCGCAACAUUCGCAGCCAUUUUUAAUCUCUUCUGUCUGUCUGAGUUGUUGUUACUUUAGUUUAGCCACUAGAGGCUUUUGUUCUGAGAUCAAGAACAGUCCCGGCCACUUACAAACUUCAUUCCAAUGUUUUAACAUUUAACAUUCUCAUGUAUAGUGUAAAAUGAGUUUUACAUUGUUAGGCUUAGAGCAUUUACACAGACACGUUGCUUUAGACAAAAUAGCUGUGAAAUAAAAAGAAUGAUCUGUAGAAAUUGCAGUGCCAGACACAAUCGACAAAAGAAACAGCACAGCAUCAACAUGCCUAAAAAAUAAUACAAAAUUAAAUGCAUUACAAAAGGGAAAAUAUGCACAAAGUUGUAUUGGACAGAUUUAGACUUAUACAUUAUAACUAAAUUAUACAUCAAGAUAUCACAUUUGUAAUUUAGCUUGUGUAAGAAAAUUAGCCUGUGUGACGUGUGCUACCCAUAAAGAUGUUUUACUGUCAAAAAGCAGAAGUUAAACGCAUAUGCUGUUGUUCAAAAGUUUAGGGUCACCCACUUACCUGACUAAACAAAUUCUAAAACAAAUUAAAACCAUGUUGUAUUUAGCAUCUUCAGUGUAGUCUCUCAUUGCCUAGAGUUUGAAGAAAUGUAUUAUUGUCAUUUCAUCAGCCAGUUGUUAGAUGUCUCAUCCAGAGAUGUAAUUUAAACAGUAUUGAAAGAGUUUCUAUACUGGGCUCUUAUAGGCUGCUUUUCAUUCCUUAUUGAACCAAAGUCAUUCAUUUAAAAAAAGUUUUUGUUUUGUAAUGAAAAAAAUAAUGUUUACACAAUUAUAUAUUUGUCCACAAAACUAUUCCAGACAUUCAAGUGUGUUUCCAUUCAAAGUAUUAACAUUAUUUGUCAUUUUAUUAUUAAAAUAAAUAUUUUAUUAUUUUAUCUUUAAGUAUUAAGGACCUCACAAGCAGCAACACUAAAAGACGCCCGCAAAAUGCGAAUAUCAAGCAAUAAAUCGCACUCAUGAAACAAUUGCAACAAUUCAGCGCUACUUAAACGGUGAAACAAUUCAGCGCCACUGAAACAGUGAAACAAUUCGCAACAACUUAAUGACGCGCCGCGCAGACCAUUCGGCAUAUUACAUCAAGUACCGCGAGAUCGAUGCGAAAGAUGUGCAUUCGAAUAAUUCUCGCGAAUCUUCAUUGUCAUACCAGUCUGCGCUGCGCUGCAUGAAGUAGGCGGUAGUAGUAGUUUUACCCUUGCGUGAUUCGUCGUUGUAAAUUGUUUCAGCGUACUUCAUAGGUCGGCUUCUUUAAAAGUAGGCGGUGUUUCAGUUUUACUCUUGCGUGAUUCGUCGUUGUGAAUUGUUUCAGCGUACUUCAUAGGUCGGCUUCUUUAAAAGUAGGCGGUGUUUCAGUUUUACUCUUGCGUGAUUCGUCGUUGUGAAUUGUUUCAGCGUACUUCAUAGGUCGGCCUCUUUAAAAGUAGGCGGUGGUAGUAGUUUUGCCCUUGCGUGAUUCGUCGUUGUGAAUUGUUUCAUUGCACUUCAUGAGCGCUGUUACUUUAUAUCCCAUUUUGGGGGCGUGUUAUAAUGUUGCCGCUUGUGAGAUCCUCGAGUACGAGCUCAGUGAAAAUAACUUAAUUGAGACGAAUAAACGCUUAUUGACUUAUUGACAACAAUUGGCUUAUUGACAACAAUAUAGACAUCAUUCAUUGUGCUAUGGUCUUUGUGUUACAUCUCGAAAGGAUUUUUUUGGUCACAAUAAGGCAAAAAAGCAUGUGGACAUUUCCCUUACAAUAAAAGUGUUCUUCAAAACUGUGUUGGAACAGUUUUUCGAGGGUUAUUUUCUAUGCUAGCAUGUCCACGUGCAAAAUGCGAGGGUAUAUAGAAAUGGUUCACUGAGCUUGAAUAAAACCCGAACCUGAAUUCUACUGAAUACCUUUGGGAUAAGUCAAACAACUACACCCAUGUUGCAUCUGUAGCGGAUAAACAUUUUAACAAGAGGACCCUUUUAUAGCAGACGAGGUAGAGAUGAAUACUUUAGGCAACACUUCUGGAAUUAAAUGUAAUACAUCUGCCUUCACUGCUAGAACAUCUUUGAAGCUUUGUGCAUCAAUCAUGUCAGGGGCGUAGCAGCCAUUUUAAAAGUGGGGGGGACAGUAAAGCUGCUGUUCAUAAUAAUACAUUCCAAAAUAGAAUACCAAUUGGCAUUUUACAGCACCCUAGUGGCAAUUUUGGGAACAUGCCAUGAUAGCUUACAUGAACCUAUAUUUGUGAAAUCAUACUCACAAUUUAAAAAUACUGCAGGACUUUGAAACCAAUGUGAGACCAUCUAUAGCCUACUUUAUUUUUAUGAAAUAAAGAUAUUUUAUGAUAGUUACAAUAUUUCAGUUACACUACAUUUGUAUUUUGAUGAAUAUACAGAUUACAUCUACACUAAUUUUAUACAACAUACAUUUUAUGAAAAUAUAGCAAUAAAACCUAAAUCAAUGUAUUUACAAGUUUUUAAUAUUUUCAAGAUGGAAGUAAGUUAUUUAAUCAUACAUGGCCGUGGGAAGUGGGGGUGCUGUGGGUGCUGCAGCACCCACUGUUGGCGAGAGGGAGAUUUUUUUAAGUAAAAAUAUUUUGCACAAUUUAUAUAUUACUUAUGAAUAUUUUAGGAGAUUAUUUUUGACACACGUAGGUUAUUACGUGUAUUUUGGAUUUUAAUUUCAUUACUGUCUGUGCCUACCCAUCUCCGUGGCCUCAUCCGAGCGCACUUUCUCCGCCUUGCGUCUUUUGAAGACAUGGGUAAGCAGCACCAUGACCCAGAAUAGACUCACACACCUUUGGCUAAUGCAUGCCCACACAGAAAUUCUGAACUCCCUGGGCAUUCGUCCCCUAGCUCAUGAGAGACUUUGGACUCUAUUAUACAACCGGCGCAAUGCGCGACGCGAGUGUCUUUUGCUAUAGUAAAGAGCGCGUUGAUAUUAUGCGCAUACAGUAUUAACGGGAUGACAACGCGGGUUUGCUUAUCACAUACAUGAAUGCGAAGAAGCACAAAAACGCUUUUUAAUAUGAAAAAUUAAAGGAUUAAAAUGUAAAAGAUUAUUAUUGAGUCUCUUGGACAUAAAUGAUGACCGAUUAUGAGACGUUAGAAGGCGUAAAUAGCUGCUUCAUCUAAGUAAAUAAAUGCUUUACU